CCCUUAGAUGUCCUGGGCCGCACGCGCGUUACACUGAUGCAUUCAACGAGCUUAUAACCUUGGCCGAGAGGCCUGGGCAAUCGUGUUAACGUGCAUCGUGAUAGGGAUAGAUUAUUGAAAUUAUUAAUCUUGAACGAGGAAUUCCUAGUAAACGCAGAUCAUCAAUCUGCAUUGAUUACGUCCCUGCCCUUUGUACACACCGCCCGUCGCACCUACCGAUUGGAUGGUCCGGUGAAGCCUCGGGAUUGUGGUUCUUGCCGCUUUAUUGUGGCGUGACCGCGAGAACUUGUCUAAACCUUAUCAUCUAGAGGAAGGUGAAGUCGUAACA
RNAcentral lists this ribosomal RNA (328 nucleotides) under uncultured eukaryote. RNAcentral describes it as "partial 18S ribosomal RNA". It matches the Rfam family "Eukaryotic small subunit ribosomal RNA", at positions 1470 to 1796 of the family's 1831-position model. The record is from RNAcentral.